UCCUUCAACAACAACAGUUAGUCAGACACCUCAGUAGCUUUCUAGCAAACAUAGCUACAACAUUCACGGUCUUUACACUGUUAUGGUGUAUAUUAGUCGCUGUGUUUUAAACACACUUCUGUCGUAUGUACUUGUUGGCCCAUUUAAUUAUAUAAUUACGUUGUUUGUCAGCUAGCUGGUUUGCUAAAUUAGCUUAGAACUAGGCUAGUUGCUAAUGCUAGCUAGCGAACAUCCCCGACCAUGAGUUCACUAAGCUACUCUUCUCCUGCUAAAAAAGAGGUCUUCUGGACGGAGAAAGAAGCUCUCCUGAAAGAGGAGGAGGAAGAGAAGGAUGUUACAAUACAAAAAGAAGUAGAGGGUGAGGCUGUUACCGUGAAAGAAGAAGAGAAAGACGUUUCUGUGGAAGAAAAGGAAGACUCGUUCAGAGUGAAAGAGGAGGAGGAUGUUACAGUAAAAUAAGAGGAGGCAGAGAGAGAGGAGGAUGCCGUUUUUGGAGUGAAAAAGGGGGAGGGGGAGAUGACUGUCACAUCGAAAAAGGAGGAAGAGGACGAAGAGGAGGAAACUGGACAUCUGGGCCCGGUUACCCAAACGCAUCUUAAGGCCUCCUAUGGUUCGGAGGUGAACUUAUCCGUAAGAUGGUUUUGAGAAACCGGGCCGUGAUUAACACUAGAGAGAGACGUGACUAUCGUGGAUCCUCUGGGGAGCCUCAACAACAUUAUGAAACUGAUGAGGCAGAGAAGAGUCCCUCCCGAUCAGAACACCUCAAGAAACACCAGAGGAGACCAACAGGGAAGAAAUCUCAUUUCUGCUCUGACUGUGGGAAAGGUUGCAAAUCUUCAUCAGAACUUAAAAUACACCAGCGAGUACACACAGGAGAGAAAUCUCACCACUGUUUUGAUUGUGGGAAGAGUUACUUAAGAUCAAAUUCACUAAAAGUACACAUGAGAAUUCACACUGGAGAGAAAUCUUAUAGCUGUGAUCAAUGUGGGAAGAGUUUUACUACAUCUAGCCAUCGGAUUGUACACCAGAGAACACACACAGGAGACAAAUCGUAUAGCUGUGAUCAAUGUGGGAAGAGUUUUACUCAGUCAAGCAGCCUCUUAUCGCACCAGAGAAAACACUCAGGAGAGAAACCUUACAGCUGUGAUCAAUGUGGGAAGAGUUUUACUCAGUCAAGCAACCUGGUAUCACACCAGAGAACACACACAGGAGAGAAACCGUAUAGCUGUGAUUAAUGUGGGAAGAGUUUUACUACAUCCAGCCAUCUGAUUAUACACCAGAGAACACACACAGGAGAGAAACCUUAUAGCUGUGAUCAAUGUGGGAAAAGUUUUACUACAUCUAGCCAUCUGAUUGUACACCAGAGAACACACACAGGAGAGAAAUCUUAUAGCUGUGGUCAAUGUGGGAAGAGCUUUACUACAUCUAGCUAUAUGACUAUACACCAGAGAACACACCCAGGAGAGAAACCUCAUAGCUGUGAUCAAUGUGACAAGCGAUACUCUGAUAAAAGAUCUCUGAUCAAACAUCAGAAAAUACAUACAUGAAGGAGUUGUUUCAUGAUAUCAAUGAAAUUAUGUCACAAUGUAGAAUGUUUUAACAUUGUAGUAGGAGUAUUUUAAUGAUGUCACAAUGUAGAAUGUUUUCACAUUGUAGUAGGAGUAUUUUAAUGAUGUCACAAUGUAGAUUGUUUUCACAUUGUAGUAGGAGUAUUUUAAUGAUGUCACAAUGUAGCUUGUUUUCACAUUGUAGUAGGAGUAUUUUAAUGAUGUCACAAUGUAGAAUGUUUUAACAUUGUAGAAGGAGUAUUUUAAUAAUGUCACAAUGUAGAAUGUUUUAACAUUGUAGUAGGAGUAUUUUAAUAAUGUCACAAUGUAGAAUGUUUUAACAUUGUAGUAGGAGUAUUUUAAUAAUGUCACAAUGUAGAAUGUUUUAACAUUGUAGUAGGAGUAUUUUAAUAAUGUCACAAUGUAGAAUGUUUUAACAUUGUAGUAGGAGUAUUUUAAUAAUGUCACAAUGUAGAAUGUUUUAACAUUGUAGUAGGAGUAUUUUAAUAAUGUCACAAUGUAGAAUGUUUUAACAUUGUAGAAGGAGUAUUUUAAUAAUGUCACAAUGUAGAAUGUUUUAACAUUGUAGUAGGAGUAUUUUAAUGAUGUCACAAUGUAUAAUGUUUUCACAUUGUAGUAGGAGUAUUUUAAUGAUGUCACAAUGUAGAAUGUUUUAACAUUGUAGUAGGAGUAUUUUAAUGAUGUCACAAUGUAUAAUGUUUUCACAUUGUAGUAGGAGUAUUUUAAUGAUGUCACAAUGUAGAAUGUUUUAACAUAGUAGAAGGAGUAUUUUAAUAAUGUCACAAUGUAGAACACUAGACGUUUGCCCCCUGUUCUAUUGAUUUCAGCAUGAUAUGGAUAUUAACCUCAUGGAAAAAUCCAGGCUAUUAAUCCAGUACUAUUUAUGUGAUUUAACAAAAAGUGACUAACAAAAAAAGAGCUGUGUUACACUUACAGCAUUGGUGACCCACUUGAAUCAAAAUGUAGCUAGCUGUUUUCUACAAGUUGUCCUCUAACCAGUGAUGUACACAUUAUUCCCAGAUUUACAUCUGGUUUUUGAGCUGUUAGUUUUAACAUGACAUGCAACCUCAUCUCCCCACUCUCACGCAAAUGAUUUCAACAUGAUAUCGAUGAGUGAUGACAAAUAAGUGUUUCGUUCCUUUGUUUAGGGACCUCUAAGUUUAAAUGCAUCACUCCAAAAUGUAGCUGACUGUCUUCUGCAGGUUGUCCUCUAACCAGUGAGGUAAAAUAUAUCUCCCAUUUCCAUGUGUUUUUUUAGUUGUGUUAGUUUCAACAGCACGUACAACCUGAUUUCCCCCCUAAUUGAUAUCAGUGAUUUAUUGCUACUUGUCAAAACAACAGUGUUUCUGGUGCUUGUGCAUUUUAAAAGGUGCUUGUUUUAAAAAAUACAAGUAAUAUGAUUA
Salvelinus fontinalis (brook trout) is the source of this 2971-nucleotide long non-coding RNA. RefSeq lists it as uncharacterized. The record is from RefSeq and is a predicted model, not a curated record. Lineage: Eukaryota; Metazoa; Chordata; Actinopteri; Salmoniformes; Salmonidae. The transcript is spliced from 2 exons.